Molecule: ribosomal RNA, 381 nt
Filed under: uncultured eukaryote
Lineage: Eukaryota
Description: partial 18S ribosomal RNA
Rfam family: Eukaryotic small subunit ribosomal RNA
Source: RNAcentral
CAAUAGCGUAUAUUAAAGCUGUUGCGGUUAAAAAGCUCGUAGUUGGAUUUCUGUCAAGGACAACUGGUCCGCCCUCCGGGUGAGCACAUAGUUUGGUCUUGGCAUCUUGCUGGAAGCUGUUGCUGCACUUGGCUGUGUGGCGCAUCGUCCAGCACUUUCACUUUGAGGAAAUUGGAGUGUUUCAAGCAGGCACAUGCCUUUGGACACAGUAGCAUGGAAUAAUUAGAUUGGGCUUUUGCUCCAAUUUGUCGGUUUCUGGAGCUGAGGUGAGAAUUAAUGGGGAUUGUUGGGGGCAUCCGAAUUUAGCCGUCAGAGGUGAAAUUCUUGGAUCUGCUAAAGACGGACAACUGCGAAAGCGUUUGCCCAGGAUGUUUUCAUUGA